Molecule: ribosomal RNA, 451 nt
Filed under: uncultured bacterium
Lineage: Bacteria
Description: bacterial SSU rRNA
Rfam family: Bacterial small subunit ribosomal RNA
Source: RNAcentral
GUGGGGAAUCUUGCGCAAUGGACGAAAGUCUGACGCAGCGACGCCGCGUGGGCGACGAAGGCCUUCGGGUUGUAAAGCCCUGUGGGGAGGGACGAACACUGAUUGUUCAAAUAGGGCAGUCAGCUGACGGUACCUCCUUAGCAAGCACCGGCUAACUCUGUGCCAGCAGCCGCGGUAAGACAGAGGGUGCAAACGUUGCUCGGAAUUACUGGGCGUAAAGCGCGUGUAGGUGGUCACGCAAGUCAGGUGUGAAAGCCCUGGGCUCAACCCAGGAAGUGCACAUGAUACUACGUGGCUGGAGUACUGAAGAGGAGAGCGGAAUUCCCGGUGUAGAGGUGAAAUUCGUAGAUAUCGGGAGGAACACCAGUGGCGAAGGCGGCUCUCUGGGCAGAUACUGACACUGAGACGCGAAAGCGUGGGUAGCAAACAGGAUUAGAAACCCCGGUAGUCC